GGUUUCCCAUGGUCCCGGAGAAGGGGAGCGAGGGUCGGGCUCCUGAACUGCAGGCCUCAUGGCGGGCGCUCCCUGCAGUCCUUCAUUACCUGAAGAAGGUGCUCUGUGAAGGUGCAAGGAUUUGAAGGCCAAGACAGAAUUCCUGCAAGGAGCAUAUUCAAGAGUUACUGGACCAGAGUUUUCCUCUCCAGGAUGAGCCGAAUCUGGGUUUUCAUACCAUAUUCAAAGACCAUUGAUUAUUGUGACUAAGCAAAGCCUCAGUUCAACUUUCAGAAGAAAGAUAUAUUGGUUUCAUUCAAGGACCUGACUGCGGACUUCACCCAGGAGGAGCGGCGGCACCUGGACCGUGCUCAGAGGCUCCAGUAGAGGGGUGUGAUGCUGGAGGACUACAGCACCCGCAUCUCAGUGGGGUAUCAACAUUAGCAAACCAGACGUGAUCUUCAGACUGGAGCAAGGAGAAGAACCAUGGACAGUAGAGGAAUUCUCAAGUCAGAACUACUCAGCUAAGGUGCCAAAGGCAAUGCAGUGUUUUCACUCUAGGUGAAAAGGAGUAAUUAAAACCACAAGAAAGACAUCCUCCAAAUACAAACAAACUGGAAACAACCCAAAUGCCUGUGAAAAGAUGGAUGGAUAAGCAAAUUUUGUACAUCUAUACAAUGGAUUACUUUCCGCAGUAUAAAAGAAUUAACUACUGAUAUAUGCAACAGCAUGGGUGACUCAGAAUAAUUAUUCUGAGUUAAAGA
Molecule: non-coding RNA, 743 nt
Organism: Kogia breviceps (pygmy sperm whale)
Lineage: Eukaryota; Metazoa; Chordata; Mammalia; Artiodactyla; Physeteridae
Source: RefSeq, a predicted model, not a curated record